Mytilus trossulus (common blue mussel) is the source of this 1963-nucleotide long non-coding RNA. RefSeq lists it as uncharacterized. Lineage: Eukaryota; Metazoa; Mollusca; Bivalvia; Mytilida; Mytilidae. The transcript has 8 exons. The record is from RefSeq and is a predicted model, not a curated record.
CGACACAAGUUUUCCCGAUGUACUCCGGGUUUUACAUCAGUGUUGUUUGCAACGCCGUAUCCUUCAAUUUCAUUGAAGACAUCAAGCGAACAUAAACUUGAACGGUGUAUGAUGUGCUUGCAAAAGUAAAAAAACAACUUACAUAAACGCCAACGUGUACAUAGAGAUUUUCAUUGAAAAGGUGUACUCCGGAAUUAUUCCGCUUUUGACUCCAUUUUAUAUUUUUAUUUGAGCUCUCUACGUUUGAGGUAGCAAAGAAAAGGUUGAAAAGCAUUUUAAUUUGAGGAUAUUCCAACCUGAAGCAAGUUGUACCAAUGUUAAUGAUGGAAGACCCUGUUAGAAUACUGUGCAUACCUGGGGCUAAAACUUAAUCAAAGAUGACCUAUGCUGAAGUGGUGAGACUUGCUAUGCAUGUAACAGGAGACCAAACUGAGACCACCUUUGAUAUAAAGUGUAUAGAAAUGAAGAAAUCAAUGGGAGCCCCUGCCAAAAGGAGGAGUGUUGUUACAGAAUAUAAGUUCCCAAUGAAACAGGGUAUAGAUGAGUGAUCUAGUGUUUGAGUUCACUGAGGAUGUGGCUGUCAUCCUAACAAACAAAGGUUUACAUAGUAUUUAUCAGGCAACAUUCAGACAGUCAGAUAUUCUACAUUUCGGAUACGGAAUAAAGAAAUUGCUGUUGAGGAAGAGAGGAGUUUCUGUGACGAGAUUGAUACACAUAGAGCAUUUGGUAGUGUAUAAUAACAAAGUGUAAAGAAGUUGUGAGUAGUAUUUUAACCAAAAGAACAUCUACCCUAACAACAGUGAAUAUUAAAGCGAUCAGUUGCUGUAUGGUGAUAUUGAAAGAAAUCCAGGACCUACAAUGGUUUAUGAAGACUUCUUAGAGCUUGCCAUAUAAGUGUCAACAAUUUUAAAGAACAGAGAAGACUAUUAUUGCACUUAGUUUUGAGUUUUUGUUUUAUAUUUUACCACUAUGAUAGACUAAUGUUAAAUUCAGGAAUUGCAUUUUUCUGAUAUAUCUGUUUUGUAAUUACGUUUUACUCAUUUUUAAAUACGUUUGAGACGUUUUUUUUUUAUACCUUUUCCUACUUGAGAAGCAUUGACAACUAUUUUAAGUUUUUAGUAAGGUUACUUUCUUUGGGUUUUGUAUUUUAUAAUAUUAAGAUGUCAUACUUGAAUACCUUGUAGUUAUGAACUGUGUAUUUUACUUCUUGAUUCUUUGAUAUGUGUAGUAUUAUUCUCCCCCCCUCCAAUUAUAUUUAGUUUUGUAAAAUAUAUUUUCCAUAAGGCCUGUCAACAAUGGAUGCCUCUCUAGAUAAAGAUUAAAUAAUCUUGGCACACAUUAAAUAUGAAUUUCAAAAGAAAAAAAUAUGUAUGAAGACUCCAUACAAAACUACUUUGGAAAGUAUCACUCCAGUGAUUCUUCUGGUAAAAUUCAGGUAUGCUCUAAAUCUCAGUUUUCAUUGGGAACUUUCUUCAUUGCAUAAAGGAUGCUUUAUCAUCUGUUUUAUUAUACCUAACAAUGCAAGUGUUAAAUGUUGGGAAUACAGAAAGACAGACAUAAUGAUUAUGAUAAGUUAACAAAUAAUUUUACUUCAAAUAUAAUGAAUAUUUAAACUGGAAUUGACUAUUCACAUGUUAUGCUCAUUUCAUUGAUUGUUGACAUUAUGUGUUGAAAAACAGAAAUAAGUCAAAAGAAUUACAAGACAGAAAGUCCAAAAGUCACAAUUUAUCAAUUGAUAAUAAAUUUGUUUGCUCUAUAAUAGAAUAGAAUGUUUCUAAAAAUGUCGAUUGAAUUAGUCUUUCUAUAAAAAAAAAUCUCUCCAAACCACAUUGUGACCUCUUUUUAUAUAUGAUUUAAUUGGUUACAUGUUUGUCUAUUUUGUUAUAUACUUUAAUGUUAUGCAUGAAAAAUAUAUUAACUGUAUGCAAAUUAGGAAAAAUUGAAAGUUUUAUGAUAAUAAAAA